Molecule: ribosomal RNA, 405 nt
Filed under: uncultured bacterium
Lineage: Bacteria
Description: partial 16S ribosomal RNA
Rfam family: Bacterial small subunit ribosomal RNA
Source: RNAcentral
AUUGAACGCUGGCGGCAGGCUUAACACCUGCAAGUCGAACGAGUGGCGGACGGGUGUGUAAUGUCUGGGAAUUUAGCCUUUGGAGGGGGAUACCUUCAGGAAACCGUAGCUAACACCGCGUACCAUAGGAUGAGCCUAAGUGGGGUUAGGUAGUUGGUGAGGUAAAGGCUCACCAAGCCGACUAGAUCUAGCGGGUCUGAGAGGAUGACCAGCCACACUGGGACUGGGACACGGCCCAGACUCCUACGGGAGGCAGCAGGGGGGAAUAUUGCGCAAUGGGGGCAACCUGACGCAGCCAUGCCGCGUGAAUGAAGAAGGCCUUCGGGUUGUAAAGUUCUUUCGGUAGCGAGGCGUUAACUACAGAAGAAGCACCGGCUAACUCCGUGCCAGCAGCCGCGGUAAUAC